This 253-nucleotide ribosomal RNA is filed under the name uncultured bacterium. RNAcentral's name for it is "partial 16S ribosomal RNA". It matches the Rfam family "Bacterial small subunit ribosomal RNA", at positions 524 to 776 of the family's 1533-position model. The record is from RNAcentral.
UACGUAGGGUGCAAGCGUUAAUCGGAAUUACUGGGCGUAAAGGGUGCGCAGGCGGUUGGGUGUGUCAGAUGUGAAAUCCCGAGGCUCAACCUCGGAACUGCGUCUGAAACUACUCGACUAGAGUACUGGAGAGGGUAACGGAAUUCACGGUGUAGCAGUGAAAUGCGUAGAUAUCGUGAGGAACACCAGAGGCGAAGGCGGUUACCUGGACAGUUACUGACGCUCAGGCACGAAAGCAUGGGGAGCAAAAGGG